Molecule: ribosomal RNA, 748 nt
Filed under: uncultured bacterium
Lineage: Bacteria
Description: bacterial SSU rRNA
Rfam family: Bacterial small subunit ribosomal RNA
Source: RNAcentral
AGGGUUUGAUCAUGGCUCAGAAUGAACGUUGGCGGCGUGGAUUAGGCAUGCAAGUCGAGCGAGAAGAUUUAAAAAGAUACUUCGGUUGAUUUUUAAAUUGGACAGCGGCGAAAGGGAGAGUAACAAGUAGAUACGUACCCGAGGGUCCGGGAUAGCUGCGGGAAACUGCAGGUAAUACCGGAUAAUGUUUCCGAACCAAAGAUUUAUUGCCCUCGGAUCGGUCUGCUCACUAUUAGGUAGUUGGUGGGGUAAAGGCCUACCAAGCCAAAGAUGGUUAGCGGGUGUGAGAGCAUGGCCCGUCUCACUGGGACUGAGACACUGCCCAGACACCUACGGGUGGCUGCAGUCGAGAAUCUUCCGCAAUGGACGAAAGUCUGACGGAGCGACGCCGCGUGAUGGACGAAGGCCCUCGGGUUGUAAACAUCUGUCGUAGGGGAGGAAAUUUUGACCGAUCCUAGGAGGAAGCGCAGGCUAAGUUCGUGCCAGCAGCCGCGGUAAUACGAACUGCGCAAACGUUAUUCGGAAUCACUGGGCUUAAAGGGUGCGUAGGCGGAUUGGUAGGUCAGAUGUGAAAGCCCACGGCUCAACCGUGGAAUUGCGUUUGAAACCACUAGUCUUGAGGGGAUCAGAGGAGAGCGGAACUGAUGGUGGAGCGGUGAAAUGCGUUGAUAUCAUCAGGAACACCGGUGGCGAAAGCGGCUCUCUGGGAUCUUUCUGACGCUGAGGCACGAAAGCUAGGGGAGCGAAC